GGGAGAGCCACCCCCAGUGUCUCCUGGUUCUGGGGAUCCCCGUGAGACCCCCCGGGGACCACCCUGCGCGAGGGAGGCGGUGGUGGUGGCGGUGGGCGGAGGCGGUGGGAGGACACCGAGGACGGUCGGUGAGGUGAGCGUUUCUGGGGGUGGUGCAGAGGCUCGAUGGUGGACGGUGUGCCAGCCGGUGCCACACUGCACCUCUCUGCCCUCAUCUUUUCGAAUCGGGGGCCCUAACCCCUGUCUUUCACGGGGUGCUGCCGGGUCAAGGCAUUCAUCCUCUAGCUGAAGGAGAGGACUAGGGUGAGGAGCUGCUGCCACCCGGGCUG
RNAcentral lists this long non-coding RNA (329 nucleotides) under Pan troglodytes (chimpanzee). Its description in RNAcentral is "long non-coding RNA NONPTRT009787". Lineage: Eukaryota; Metazoa; Chordata; Mammalia; Primates; Hominidae. The record is from RNAcentral.